RNAcentral lists this ribosomal RNA (253 nucleotides) under uncultured bacterium. RNAcentral's name for it is "partial 16S ribosomal RNA". It matches the Rfam family "Bacterial small subunit ribosomal RNA", at positions 524 to 776 of the family's 1533-position model. The record is from RNAcentral.
UACGUAGGGUGCGAGCGUUAAUCGGAGUUACUGGGCGUAAAGCGUGCGCAGGCGGUGAUGUAAGACAGUUGUGAAAUCCCCGGGCUCAACCUGGGAACUGCAUCUGUGACUGCAUUGCUGGAGUGCGGCAGAGGGGGAUGGAAUUCCGCGUGUAGCAGUGAAAUGCGUAGAUAUGCGGAGGAACACCGAUGGCGAAGGCAAUCCCCUGGGCCUGCACUGACGCUCAUGCACGAAAGCGUGGGGAGCAAACAGG